AAAACCUUUACUUUGAUAGUACUGUCACAUGAUGAGUAAUUUUGAGGUUAUUUGCAUGACACUUAAUCGAUCUAAGUAGUCAAGACUAAGUGAUUCUUUUGUGUGUAGGAAGAGUUAGUUUAAAGCAAGAGAAAAUAGUGAGCUUGAAAGAAUAAGAGAGUUUUAUUAAGAGAUUUGUAGGUUUUACAAGAUCGCUUGUGUUACUUUAUAUGUACAAAUGAAGAUGGGUAGACUAUUUAUUAUGGUUGGCCCCCUCAAUGGACGAUUAGGAUCAAUUUUAUCCAAUUGUAUAUAUUACAUCUCUAGAUAACUCUAGAAAUAUUUACAACAAGAGAUACAAAAAGAACUUUAUUAAGAGAUUUGUAGGUUUUAUAAGAUCGUUUGUGUUGCUUUAUAUGUGUAAAUGAGGCUAUUUAUAAUGGUUGGCUCCCUCAUAGGAUCAAUUUGAUCCAACAGUAUAUAUUACAUCUAUAGAUAACUCAAGAAAUAUUUACAAUAAGAAACAUUACUAGAAGUUUUUAGGCAUCAUGCUUUUAGCGUCUUCCAAAAUCUUCCAAACUGCUAGCGUGUAGGUAGGCACUUGUUGGAGCUCUCUAGUGCUUGGUGGAGCUUGCUAGAGGUUUCCUGCAACUUUUAGAGUUUUUCUGUGCAUUCCAAGUCCUCCCUCCGACUUCUGGACUUUUCCCACAACUAGGCAGCAUACACGCGCUCGCUUGACGACUAUUUUGUGUGCCCACGCAUUUGCUGAUCCAUUAAUCACUCGACUGGGCAAUAGCUUACGCAGGCAUAAAACCCUCCCCCACUCGAUCCCACGACAUCCUUGACGCAUUUUUUUACUUGUACUGUAAGAUGGCAUCAGCAAAUUGCCAAAGCAAAUCUUCUUGUUCCCAUGUGACUUUAUUUUUUGGAUGAUCUUUUCACUUCACCAAAUAUUCAGUGUAGCUUAAUAUACCACAUUUAUGAAUCGCUCCAUUCGAAAGGAUGUAUUCUACUUGUCAAAUUCGGUGACAACUGCAGUAAAAGCAUACUUGGACUCAUCUAUGCUUAGAUCUUUCUAAUUUUUGUACUAAGGUUUUAGAACACUUACAUGGAAGAAAUGGUUGAUUUUAAGUUUUGGUGGGAAUUGGACUCUAUACGCUACUUUAUUAACUCGCUUAACCACGGGUAUCUCUGCACCAACCCUUUAUACACUCUAUAUAAAGACUUGAAUUGGUUGAGCAGGAGCUUGAACAUCACCACGUCUCCCUCAGCAUACUCUAAUGGUUGCUUAUUUGUGUCAGCCCAUUUCUUCAUCCGUCAAGUGGCCUUAUUAAGGCAAUCUUUUAUAAUGUUUGCCUCUUCGUGCCACUCUUGUGCAAUUUUUUGGGCCACUUGGCUACUACCUUCGUAGGUUGAGGCUAUGACGUUAGGUGUCAAGAGAUGUUGGUCCCUGACGAUCUCAAAUGAGCUUUUUUUGGUGGACUCGUUCCGUUGAAGAUUAUAUGAGAAUUACACCACAUCAAGUAAAUUCAUUGAAUCUUGUUGAUGGGUGCUGAUAUAGUGUCUCAAGUGGAGCUCUAAUAAACAUGUUCACGCACUCGGUUUGACCAUAUUGUUAUGGAUAAAAGUUGAUUUAGAAAUUCAAUUCUGUCCCCAAUAACUUGAACAAUUUUAGUUGUAAUUUUUUUGUGGAGUUUGGGUCUCUAUUGUUAAUGAUGUUCUGUGGGACAAUCCAACUUCACAAUAUUAUUGAGGGAUAAAUGUGUGGCUUUAUCCACCUUACAAUCGACUAAGGGUAGGAUAAAGGUAGCAUACUUACUAAAUUGAUCAAUAAUGACCAUGAUGUUUCUUUUCCGUCAGACUUUCAUAAGGUGAUGUGACCUCAGGAAGGGCCAAGCUAAUGCAAAAAAAAAGAUACUCGAGAGAAGCGAGAAUCCUACAGUAAGCUAGAUUCCCACUGGAUAAUUACCUGCAAGGUAGGGGCAAUUAGCCGCGCACAUGAGACUACCCAAGAAAUGCCCACGGGAGGAUGAUGUUUUCAAGGACUUUUACAAGUCCAAGACCGAAAAAAAACUAAAGUUCAACCUCCUAAGUUUCCCAAAUUAUCCCAAGAAGGAAGACACAAAACUCAAAAGGAAUCAGGCUUAGAAGGUUGAUUCAAGAGUUUUUAAAAUGCCUAACCCAUGAGCCCCAAAGAGAUCGAAGAAAGCUUUAUGUCAUGACGUCAUUACUCAAUUGUACAGUUGAGAUUAAACAAGUAAGCCUUUUGAGUAUAGGAAGUAUUAGCUAAUAGCAAGACAAAAUAGUGAGCUUGAGGAAUAUGAAAGCUUUUAUUGAGAGCUUUCUACGCUUUUACAAGUAUGUCUGUGUUGUUGUGUAUGUACAAAUG
RNAcentral lists this long non-coding RNA (2368 nucleotides) under Carica papaya (papaya). RNAcentral describes it as "long non-coding RNA (CPAP_LNC004929)". The record is from RNAcentral. Lineage: Eukaryota; Viridiplantae; Streptophyta; Magnoliopsida; Brassicales; Caricaceae.